UGUUAAAAAAAUAUCUAUUUCUAGUAUUAAAAAUUGGCAUGACUAACAAAAUAACUAAAUAGUGACCGUGGUGUGCCACAUGUACCAUCAUGCUAAAGUACAUGAACCAAUUUUUAAUAAUAAAAAUUGAUGAAAAUUUUAACA
Molecule: non-coding RNA, 144 nt
Organism: Gossypium hirsutum (cotton)
Lineage: Eukaryota; Viridiplantae; Streptophyta; Magnoliopsida; Malvales; Malvaceae
Source: Rfam